GACACUUUGGCCGAGUGGUUAAGGCGUUCGCCUGCUACCUCCUUGGUAAUAGCGGAUGGGCUCUGCCCGCGAGCGUUCGAAUCGCUCAGGUGUCG
This 95-nucleotide transfer RNA is filed under the name Vararia minispora EC-137. RNAcentral describes it as "tRNA-Ser". It matches the Rfam family "tRNA". Rfam says of the family: Transfer RNA (tRNA) molecules are approximately 80 nucleotides in length. Their secondary structure includes four short double-helical elements and three loops (D, anti-codon, and T loops). Further hydrogen bonds mediate the characteristic L-shaped molecular structure. tRNAs have two regions of fundamental functional importance: the anti-codon, which is responsible for specific mRNA codon recognition, and the 3' end, to which the tRNAs corresponding amino acid is attached (by aminoacyl-tRNA synthetases). tRNAs cope with the degeneracy of the genetic code in two manners: having more than one tRNA (with a specific anti-codon) for a particular amino acid; and 'wobble' base-pairing, i.e. permitting non-standard base-pairing at the 3rd anti-codon position. Lineage: Eukaryota; Fungi; Basidiomycota; Agaricomycetes; Russulales; Lachnocladiaceae. The record is from RNAcentral.